RNA transcript from Choloepus didactylus (southern two-toed sloth), 2072 nucleotides. It is a transcript of the gene named polyadenylate-binding protein 2, with no coding region annotated. Lineage: Eukaryota; Metazoa; Chordata; Mammalia; Pilosa; Megalonychidae. The record is from RefSeq and is a predicted model, not a curated record. The transcript has 10 exons.
CCGGCGCCGGGCCCUCCCUCCUGCCCCCCCUUUCUCCUCCCUCUUUCCUUCCCUCCCUUCCUCCCUCUCUCCCUCCCUCCCAGCUCCUGCACCAGGAAACGGCCUGGAUCCCGGCCGCGGCCUGACCCGGCUCCACGCUGGCCUGGCCGGGAGGAUGAAAGGCCCCAGCUGGGGGCUCCUUGCCAUCAGCGCUGGGUCCUAAGAGCUGCCAUCCAGGCUGGCCGCCCGGAUGGCGACCCCGGCCUCGGCCCCAGACACACGGGCUUUGGUGGCAGACUUUGUAGGCUACAAGUUGAGGCAGAAGGGUUAUGUCUGUGGAGCUGGCCCCGGGGAGAGCCCCGCAGCUGACCCACUGCACCAAGCCAUGCGGGCUGCGGGAGAUGAGUUUGAGACCCGCUUCCGGCGCACCUUCUCCGAUCUGGCAGCUCAGCUGCAUGUGACCCCUGGCUCUGCCCAGCAGCGCUUCACCCAGGUCUCUGACGAGCUCUUCCAAGGAGGUCCCAACUGGGGACGCCUUGUGGCCUUCUUUGUCUUUGGGGCCGCGCUGUGUGCUGAGAGUGUCAACAAGGAGAUGGAGCCUCUGGUGGGACAAGUGCAGGAGUGGAUGGUGGCCUACCUGGAGACACGGCUGGCUGACUGGAUCCACAGCAGUGGGGGCUGGGAGCUGGAAGCGAUCAAAGCUCGAGUCAGAGAGAUGGAGGAAGAAGCUGAGAAGCUAAAGGAGCUGCAGAACGAGGUAGAGAAGCAGAUGAAUAUGAGUCCACCUCCAGGCAAUGCUGGCCCAGUGAUCAUGUCUAUUGAAGAGAAGAUGGAGGCUGAUGCUCGUUCCAUUUAUGUUGGCAAUGUGGACUAUGGUGCAACAGCAGAAGAGCUAGAAGCACACUUUCAUGGCUGUGGUUCAGUCAACCGUGUUACUAUACUCUGUGACAAAUUCAGUGGCCAUCCCAAAGGGUUUGCAUAUAUUGAGUUCUCAGACAAAGAGUCAGUGAGGACCUCCCUGGCCUUAGAUGAGUCCCUUUUUAGAGGAAGACAAAUCAAGGUGAUCCCCAAACGAACCAAUAGACCAGGCAUCAGCACAACAGACCGGGGUUUCCCAAGAGCUCGUUACCGUGCCAGGACCACCAACUACAACAAUUCCCGCUCUCGGUUCUACAGUGGUUUCAGCAGCAGGCCCCGGGGUCGUGUCUACAGGGGCCGGGCUAGAGCGACAUCAUGGUAUUCCCCUUACUAAAAAAGUGUGUAUUAGGAGGAGAGAGAGGAAAAAAAGAGGAAAGAAGGAAAAAAAAAAAAAGAAUUAAAAAAAAAAAAAAAAAAAGAAAAACAGAAGAUGACCUUGAUGGAAAAAAAAAUAUUUUUUAAAAAAAGAUAUACUGUGGAAGGGGGGAGAAUCCCUUAACUAACUGCUGAGGAGGGACCUGCUUUGGGGAGUAGGGGAAGGCCCGGGGAGUGGGGCAGAGGGCUGCUCAUUCACUCUGGGGAUUCGCCAUGGACACGUCUCAACUGCGCAAGCUGCUCCCCAUGUUUUCCUGUCCCACUUCACCCCCUUGGGGGCUGCUCAAGGGUAGGUGAGCAUGGGUGGUAGGAGGGUUUUUUUUUUACCCAGGGCUCUGGAAGGACACCAAACUGUUCUGCUUGUUACCUUCCCUUCAUCUUCUCCCUGCCUUUCACAGUCCCCUCCUGCCAGCUUCCUGUCCUGCCAGGUCUACCACCCACCCCACCCCUCUUUGGGCUCCCUGCCCCUCCAGAUUGCCUGGUGAUCUAUUUUGUUUCCUUUUGUGUUUCUUUUUCUGUUUUGAGUGUCUUUCUUUGCAGGUUUCUGUAGCCGGAAGAUCUCCGUUCCGCUCCAGGCGGCUCCAGUAUCCCAGAUGGCUGUUAAUUCUACUUUGUGGAAGUACUGGUGUUAUGGAUGGGAAGUUUCUACUUGUGAAUUAAAGAGUAGGAGUUAAAUUACAGCUAGCAGGAGUAUUAUGUGUUUAGUUGAGGAUGAUGGACUUUCUGGAUAGCAUGUAUCCCUUUGACAUUUGAGAGAUAAAUGAGCCUGGAAAAAUAAAAGACUGGCCAGAGUAGAAUGA